AGUAAAAACAAGGUUGCCACAAAAGAAAAAAUAUCAAUAAAUAAUAACAGUAAUAACAAUAAUAACAAUAAUAAUAACAAUAAUAAUAAUAAUGACAGUUCUUAUAACGACAAUAAUAAUAAUAAUAAUGUAGCGACAGGUACUAUUAGAAAUGAUUCGUUUGAUUUAUUACAAAGUGAUAAAAACAAUGAGAAGGAUCAAAAUGUCAAAGACACAACACGCAAAGCAACUUAUACAAAAAAAGAAAAAACACGAUUGCUAAACCUGAACUCAGAUGAAAAUAAAAUAAUAAAUGAUUUUAACCAAUCGAUAAAUGAAGGAAAUAAAAAAUUAAAUUAUGAUAAGCUAGCUACAAAUAAUAAAAGCAACAAUAAUAAUGUUAAUAAUAAUAUUAAUAAUAAUAACGUUAAUAAUAAUAAUAAUAAUAUAAAUUUGAAAGAAUUUAAAAACGUGAAAAGUGAUUCUAAUGAUAUAUUAUGGGAGGGAAUAAUUAAAAAAAGUAAUAUACACACAUUGAAAGAAGAUAUUGUAAAUCUUAAAAAAAAUUUAGAAACAAAAAAAAGCGACAUAAAAGAACAAUCUCUGGGUGAUGUAUUAAAUUGUCAUCAAUAUAAUGAUACAUCAAAUAGUGAAAGUAAAAGUAGUAAUAGAAGUAGUAAAACAAAUGAAGAUAAACUUAUUAAAAUUUUUAAAAAUAAUAUAAAUACAAAUAAAAAAAUUGAUAAAAAUAAGAAAAAUGAGCAAGACGUAAUUAGUACAGAUAUGAUACAAAACAGCACAAUAUUAGAAGACAUCCAACAUAAUGAUAAUAUACAUAAAAGUGUUAAACAAAAUAAUACAAAGCAAAAUGGUAUAAAACAAAAAAAUAAUGCACAAAAAAAUACAUAUGAAGUUAGCAUAAACGAUCAUAUUCAAAACAAUACAACUUCAACACAAAAAUUAAACAAUGAAAACACACAUAUAAAUGCUUAUAAUAAAUAUUUUACUAAAAAUGAUAAUAUAUUCUAUAUAAAAGAAGCGAUUUUAAGGAACCAAUCAGUUUUAUAUAAUGACGACUAUUUAGAGGUACAUACAUACA
Molecule: long non-coding RNA, 1078 nt
Filed under: Piliocolobus tephrosceles (Ugandan red Colobus)
Lineage: Eukaryota; Metazoa; Chordata; Mammalia; Primates; Cercopithecidae
Description: lncRNA (ENSPTEG00000007209.1)
Source: RNAcentral